Molecule: ribosomal RNA, 404 nt
Filed under: Actinomycetes bacterium
Lineage: Bacteria; Bacillati; Actinomycetota; Actinomycetes
Description: Actinobacteria bacterium partial 16S ribosomal RNA
Rfam family: Bacterial small subunit ribosomal RNA
Source: RNAcentral
UGGGGAAUAUUGGACAAUGGGCGCAAGCCUGCUCCAGCCAUGCCGCGUGAGUGAUGAAGGCCCUAGGGUUGUAAAGCUCUUUCACCGGUGAAGAUAAUGACGGUAACCGGAGAAGAAGCCCCGGCUAACUUCGUGCCAGCAGCCGCGGUAAUACGAAGGGGGCUAGCGUUGUUCGGAUUUACUGGGCGUAAAGCGCACGUAGGCGGACUAUUAAGUCAGGGGUGAAAUCCCGGGGCUCAACCCCGGAACUGCCUUUGAUACUGGUAGUCUUGAGUUGGAGAGAGGUGAGUGGAAUUCCGAGUGUAGAGGUGAAAUUCGUAGAUAUUCGGAGGAACACCAGUGGCGAAGGCGGCUCACUGGCUCGAUACUGACGCUGAGGUGCGAAAGCGUGGGGAGCAAACAGG